Non-coding RNA from Chiloscyllium plagiosum (whitespotted bambooshark), 589 nucleotides. The record is from RefSeq and is a predicted model, not a curated record. Lineage: Eukaryota; Metazoa; Chordata; Chondrichthyes; Orectolobiformes; Hemiscylliidae.
UUUCCCACUGGCAUACAGAAUUGUUGAAGCGCUUGGAUUUGUCUUCAUCUCAGCAAUAAUCUUUUAUAACAUUUUCUAUUAUCUACAUCCUGAAAGUCAACUCCGAAGGUCGUUUCUGGCAAACCAACGACAUCGCAACUUUUUCCUGGUUUAUGGAUUGAUAGAAAUAAUGAUUUCAGCCAUACCGAUUUACAGAGGGCAACAGGACAUUCACCUGUGCCAGUUAUCCACAAGUUCCAUUCCAGGAACAGUUGCUAUCGCAGUGGUGAUUAUUAUUUUUACAUUGGGAUUAGCAUUCACUACACUGGUGAAAUUCAUGAUGACAUGGACUAGAUUUCGAAGAUUGAGCCAUUUGUCAUCAAGAUGAAAGUUUCCGCAGCGACAGCACUGGGUCUACACCAGAACAUUAAUGCAAGGGAGCAGGGAGCCUGCGUGUGUCUGCACACACGUGUGUAUCACCAUUUCCUCACCCGUCUCCCGGCAAUGUGGAGUGCCUGACCACUAGCUGUACAGAGAGACAGCCUCAAUUGCUUGGGACUGGUACAACCUUAAGAUAAUAAAAUGUUCACAUGUUUUGAUUCAUCUCGCA